Molecule: unclassified non-coding RNA, 223 nt
Filed under: Hevea brasiliensis (rubber tree)
Lineage: Eukaryota; Viridiplantae; Streptophyta; Magnoliopsida; Malpighiales; Euphorbiaceae
Source: RNAcentral
GAAAAAUGUUAAAGCUUAUGAAUGGAGAAAUCCAAUAUAUCAGAGAAUCAGAAAGAUGCUAUUUCAUGAUUAUCCUUGACCUGCCAAUGACCCGCAAAGGUCCAAAGAGUGUUGGCUAGGAGCUUACAGCACACAGUAAGAGAAGAACCUGUAAUAUCUCUUAAAAUUGCAUGCUGGUGAGAUUCUGGUGAUGCCUCUGAUCCUUUAAUGGAACUUGACACAG